GUUUGUGAAUAGUUUUGUUUGUAUGAUUGAAAUUAUUACAGUACUGUUAAAAAAAUUUGAAAUGUUUGUUGAUAUUCGUUGUCCAAUCAGGGUUGAGUGUAUUUUGAGUUGUUCAACGACUUCCGCUUUUUGCACAGCAAACGCGGCACGCGGAUAUAUUUUGGCCGAAUUUUGUUAUUCUCUCACGGAUUUCAGAGCGAAUUUAAGCUCUUUGAUUAAAGCAUCGUUGUUUUGAG
Molecule: non-coding RNA, 236 nt
Organism: Paramuricea clavata
Lineage: Eukaryota; Metazoa; Cnidaria; Anthozoa; Malacalcyonacea; Plexauridae
Source: the annotation of a GenBank genome assembly